GAUGGUGAGAGCAACAAGAGGGGUGUUAGAAGGAGCAUGGUAUUUCGAGAUUAAGGUAGUGAAAUUAGGUGACACAGGGCAUACACGACUUGGGUGGUCAACAGAUAAAGGGGAUUUGCAAGCACCUGUUGGAUAUGAUGGGAAUAGUUUUGGUUAUAGAGAUAUUGAUGGUAGCAAGAUUCAUAAAGCAUUAAGGGAGAAAUACGGGGAAGAAGGAUAUGGAGAAGGUGAUGUUAUUGGCUUGUAUAUCAAUUUGCCUGAAGGUGCUCAAUAUGCCCCAAAACCGCCUCGGCUUGUUUGGUAUAAGGGACAGAGAUAUAUGUGUGCAGCUGAUCCUAAAGAAGAUCCUCCUAAAAUAAUUCCUGGUAUGUCACUGACAACUAGCUUAAUUGUUCCACUUUAUU
This 404-nucleotide unclassified non-coding RNA is filed under the name Hevea brasiliensis (rubber tree). Lineage: Eukaryota; Viridiplantae; Streptophyta; Magnoliopsida; Malpighiales; Euphorbiaceae. The record is from RNAcentral.